This 253-nucleotide ribosomal RNA is filed under the name uncultured bacterium. RNAcentral describes it as "partial 16S ribosomal RNA". It matches the Rfam family "Bacterial small subunit ribosomal RNA", at positions 524 to 776 of the family's 1533-position model. The record is from RNAcentral.
UACGGAGGGGGCUAGCGUUGUUCGGAAUUACUGGGCGUAAAGCGCGCGUAGGCGGCUUUGUAAGUUAGAGGUGAAAGCCCGGAGCUCAACUCCGGAACUGCCUUUAAGACUGCAUCGCUACAAUCAUGGAGAGGUGAGUGGAAUUCCGAGUGUAGAGGUGAAAUUCGUAGAUAUUCGGAAGAACACCAGUGGCGAAGGCGACUCACUGGACAUGUAUUGACGCUGAGGUGCGAAAGCGUGGGGAGCAAACAGG